GAGCGCAGGCGCCGCUGGGUGCGCCCCCUCCCGGGGGGCCCGGGAGCACUGGGGAGCUCGGGCUGGUGACCCCGGCGUCCGUCACGCGAUGUGGGUCCCUUGCGCACCCACCCGCAGUGUCCGUAGUGCUCUGUGCCGCCCAGCCGGGGCUCAGGCUGGGCGUCCGGCUUGCACCAAGUGCAUGAGGCGCACACGCAUUUGAGUCACUGGCUGCCACUUCUUCUCUCUUUUACUUAGUUCUUUUGCAGGGGCUCAGUGGAUUCUCCUUACUUUGGCGUACAUAGUCGUGAUUUCUUGGGGAUUUCCUGGUAACUGUUUAUUCCUCAGAUCCCAUCUGUAAAACAGGGGAAAGCAGGUCCUCUUUCCUAGUUUCACAGGGCUUUGCCAAGAUCAGGAUCAAGAUGGGGUGGCGCAUGCCUGUAAUCCCAGCACUGGGGAGACUGAGGCAGAAUAGCUAUGAGUGCGAGACCUGUCUGAACGACAAAGCCUGAACAACAUAGGACGCUCAGUCAUAAACAAAACAAAGCAAAAACAAACAAAAACAUAAUAUUACUUUAAUGCUUAACGUUAAGGAUGUGGUGCUGAUCCCAGCAUUCGGGAGGUUGGAGCAGGAGGAUCAUGAGUUUAAGGCCAGCCUGGGCUGCAAAGUGAAACCAUGCUGACCCUGCUAAGCCUCCCAAAAGAUCAAGAUUCUUUGAGUGCAGUGGGCGUGGUUUGAAAUCUUGGCUCCACCCCUUACUAGCUGUGUAACUUUGAGAAAGCAACUUAGCUUCUGGGAAUUAGUUUCUGCUUGGUCAGCUGUGAAGUAAAUGAUAGCUGACUCUUCUUGGUAUAAGAGAUGAAUCUGAUGCUGCAGGGAAGGUGCUUACCUUGGGCCAGUUCAUCUCGUAAAGGAGGCAAGCGUGAGUAAAGAUGGCUGAUGGUAACAAGGAUACAUAAAAUUCAAGCACCAGAAGGUUUGCAGCCAGAUGCCCGGUUGUUAUCCUGAUGACACUCCUGUAGGGCAGCUGGAGGACACAGCUUGAAUAAAUAAACCCAUUUUCAGCUUCUAUCGUCCAGAGACCACGUCCCUGGGUAGUUCAUGUGUGUCUCAUCAUAGGUCCGUGGAAGACACUUGAAUAAACAAGUGGAUGAUAAGGGCGCCCCGUGGAGUCAGCAGAAUGGGAGGUGUGGGUGACCCUCAAAGAGUGAUCAGAGAGCCCUUUUCUGGAGUGAUCCAGGGCAGAAUUCCGGAAGGCUGUGGCCUGAGAGCUGAGCUUGCGAGGACACUAGCUAAGUUCAGCAGGCUUCUCUUUGGCUUCUCGAUUAUGGGGAGUUUCCAAGUUGCUAGGAUAGAGGAAGAGAAGGCCCCUAAGUUAUCUUGGCUGAUUGGAUCAGUCCCUAGAAAUACACUCAUUCCAUCCUGAGCAGCAUGGAAAGUUGUAAACUGGGGCCACUGCAGUAGCUCUUGUAGUUUUUUUUUUGUUGUUGUUGUUGGCCUGUUUAUCCCUCUUUUUAGGAUAUUUUCCCUUCGGAGAAUCACUGACUGUCGGCACUAUAUGCUAGGUGGAGUUGGCCCCUUUUUUCUAGCUCCCAGAAUGCAUAUAGAGCUCCAAUUUAGCCAAUCAGGACAUGCCUCAGGAACCAUGAUUGGCUUAGAGGUCGUCACGUGACAUUACACCAGACCAAUGAAAUUCAACUUUGUUACAUUUACAAGUACACUUGGAGAAGAAAAUUCUCUGCAGAUUUUAAAGAGGGGACUUGCUAAAUUGUCCCGGCUGGCCUUGAACUGGAGAUCCUCCUGCCUCAGCCUCCCAAGUAGCUGAGAUUACAGCCGAUCUUGUUCACAAGCUGGAAACACAGAAAUGAACAAUGCAGACAAGGUCUCCUCCCUCUUCCAUGAGUGGACCCUAGUGAUGAGUCAUCUGAGCGCUAGAAAGGCUGUCUUUUUCAUCAAGAAAGAUCUUACUACCUCCAAAGUUUCUCCGUAGUUCAGGUUGGCUUUGAGUGGACUAUCUUAACUCAGGUUGGCCUCAAACUCACAGCGAUCCUCCUGCCUCAGCCUCCUGAGAGCUGGCGUAUCAGGCCUGCACCACCAUGCCUGGCUCCACAUUUGAAUUUUAAAAGUCCCCUCCUCCCAGCAAAAGUGAUUCUAAUUUACCGUUUUGUAAAUAAGGAAAGUAAGGCCUAGACAAAGGAAGUCCACACUUUUGGGCCCUGGAUUCCAGCUCAGGGCUGGCUGGGAUCCUGGCUAGCUGGAGAAACGCUGGCCUCUGCAAUAGCUCUGGUCCCUGCAAGAAGUAGGAGACUGCAGCCCGGCUCCCACCCCCACUCUCACCCCACAAGUCACUUCCAAGGGUGGAGAAGCCUUUGAAGUCAGCGGUGACGCCGCCGUGGAGGGGUGGAGGGCGAAGGCUGCGAGUGUGGUGGAAGAGGUGAACACGGGGCCAGCCGAUAAGCAGCCCAAACAACCGCGAGCGUCCUCCGGGCUGCAGCAGGAGGAGUUUCCGACGCCGGGUCCUCGCCUGGCUUUUGCUUAGUCUAGUUUUUAGGGCUAUGAGAAAUGAUGCCCCCCGAAUUCAGCUAAACCGGAACAGAAAAGAGUUUGAGCCCACAGUGGUGCACACGCUUUCCCCAGCAUGAGUUCCUAGAUUUCUCGCUUGGUGGCUGCUUGCUCUGGCUUCCUGUUCCUCUGUCUCUGCACAUUGAAUAAAUCCACCUGGGCCCCGGAGCUCUGGCAGCUGCGUUUUGUGUGAACAGCUCUUCUCCCUGGAGCGGGUAUAGCUCACAUUGCAGCGCUGUGACCCCUCCUGGAAAAAUCAGACUUACGGAGUAAAUGAAUUAAACCAUGCACACUGCUAUCUUUACAUAGAGAAGACCAAUUAUUUCUAUUACUAAAAAAUACCUAUUGUUUUUCCGUAGAGUCUGUCCAGAAGUGCACCCCGAGACAAGUAUCUGGGAGUCUUGAACCUUUGUUUCCUUUUGUUUUGCUUAGGGGAGUGACCCUACUAAGCACCAUUCAGGGAGCAGAGAAAUUUCAGGGGGAGGCAGCCAGGACCAGAUGUGUCCACGAGCAGCUUCCUGCUGUGGAAAACUGAGGUUCAGUCCUGUCAAGGAGCUCUGAGCUGUGAUAUGGAGGUGCUGGGGAGUUUCUUGCUUCAUCCAAGGGAUAAGAAGCUGGAUACAUCUCCUCCUGCCUUAGCCAAUCACUGUCUGUGAUUUCAGCAGGGUUUGCUCCACAGGACUUCUGGUCUACCCCCAAGAGCUGGGGCGGGUGAAGCUCUGGAAUGAAGGGUUGUGAUGCUGUCACUAGGAAAUCAUUGGUAUGCACAGGGAGGGUGUGAGCUGAGAGCACAGGGGUCACUCCCAAUGGACACUAUGGCAUCCAUGGAUUCACACUUACUUGUUUUGUUUCUGAGUGCAAUUAUGCAUGUAAAAUCUUGUAUUUCAUUAUAAAUUAGGAAUAAGGCACAUGUAUUAAUAGAAGUAUUUACAUAAAUGUUCUGGGCUUCUAGAUGAGUGGCUGGGAUGAGAUGUAUUUCAUUGUAGAUUAAAUAAAUAUGUGCAAAUGUGACUGCAGAAAUAAAGGAAAUGUGAAA
Long non-coding RNA from Cavia porcellus (domestic guinea pig), 3578 nucleotides. RefSeq lists it as uncharacterized. The record is from RefSeq and is a predicted model, not a curated record. The transcript is spliced from 4 exons. Lineage: Eukaryota; Metazoa; Chordata; Mammalia; Rodentia; Caviidae.